GAUGAACGCUGGCGGCGUGCCUAAUACAUGCAAGUCGAGCGAACAGAUGAGGAGCUUGCUCCUCUGACGUUAGCGGCGGACGGGUGAGUAACACGUGGAUAACCUACCUAUAAGACUGGGAUAACUUCGGGAAACCGGAGCUAAUACCGGAUAAUAUAUUGAACCGCAUGGUUCAAUAGUGAAAGACGGUUUUGUUGUCACUUAUAGAUGGAUCCGCGCCGCAUUAGCUAGUUGGUAAGGUAACGGCUUACCAAGGCAACGAUGCGUAGCCGACCUGAGAGGGUGAUCGGCCACACUGGAACUGAGACACGGUCCAGACUCCUACGGGAGGCAGCAGUAGGGAAUCUUCCGCAAUGGGCGAAAGCCUGACGGAGCAACGCCGCGUGAGUGAUGAAGGUCUUCGGAUCGUAAAGCUCUGUUAUUAGGGAAGAACAAAUGUGUAAGUAACUAUGCACGUCUUGACGGUACCUAAUCAGAAAGCCACGGCUAACUACGUG
Molecule: ribosomal RNA, 497 nt
Filed under: uncultured bacterium
Lineage: Bacteria
Description: partial 16S ribosomal RNA
Rfam family: Bacterial small subunit ribosomal RNA
Source: RNAcentral